GGGAAUGUGGCUUAGUGGUAGAGUGCUUGCCUAGCAUACAUGAAGCCCUGGGUUCGAUUCCUCAGUACCA
This is a non-coding RNA of Dipodomys ordii (Ord's kangaroo rat), 70 nucleotides long. Lineage: Eukaryota; Metazoa; Chordata; Mammalia; Rodentia; Heteromyidae. The record is from Rfam.